Molecule: ribosomal RNA, 254 nt
Filed under: uncultured bacterium
Lineage: Bacteria
Description: partial 16S ribosomal RNA
Rfam family: Bacterial small subunit ribosomal RNA
Source: RNAcentral
UACGUAGGGGGCAAGCGUUGUCCGGAUUUAUUGGGCGUAAAGAGCGUGUAGGCGGCCAGGGAGGUCCGUUGUGAAAACUCGAGGCUCAACCUCGAGACGCCGAUGGAAACCCCCUGGCUAGAGUCCGGAAGAGGAGAAUGGAAUUCCUGGUGUAGCGGUGAAAUGCGCAGAUAUCAGGAAGAACACCCGUGGCUAAGGCGGGUCUCUGGGCAGUGAACUGACGCUGAGGAGCGAAAGCGUGGGGAGCGAACAGG